CAGUAGCCGCGGUAAUACGUAGGGUGCGAGCGUUAAUCGGAAUUACUGGGCGUAAAGCGUGCGCAGGCGGUUCGUUAAGACAGAUGUGAAAUCCACGGGCUUAACCUGGGAACUGCAUUUGUGACUGGCGAGCUAGAGUAUGGCAGAGGGGGGUAGAAUUCCACGUGUAGCAGUGAAAUGCGUAGAGAUGUGGAGGAAUACCGAUGGCGAAGGCAGCCCCCUGGGCCAAUACUGACGCUCAUGCACGAAAGCGUGGGGAGCAAACAGGAUUAGAUACCCCCGUAGUCCCUGUCUCUUAUAC
RNAcentral lists this ribosomal RNA (301 nucleotides) under uncultured bacterium. RNAcentral describes it as "partial 16S ribosomal RNA". It matches the Rfam family "Bacterial small subunit ribosomal RNA", at positions 509 to 807 of the family's 1533-position model. The record is from RNAcentral.